Long non-coding RNA from Labrus mixtus (cuckoo wrasse), 578 nucleotides. RefSeq lists it as uncharacterized. The record is from RefSeq and is a predicted model, not a curated record. NCBI's taxonomy places the organism in Eukaryota, Metazoa, Chordata, Actinopteri, Labriformes, Labridae. The transcript is spliced from 2 exons.
UACCGUAAAAUCCGGUGUAUAAGACGCACUUUUAAUACCUAUUUUUUUGUCUUAAAAGUUGGCUGCGUCUUAUACACCGGUGCGACCAAUACACCAGUAUAAAAUACUGAAACACGUGCCGCCAUUACCGCAGGUGCAGCAGCCCCCAUCACUGUGACCUGAAGUGAUUAAAACCCCAUCCCCAUUCAUUGUGUAUUGAAAGCUGAGUGCACGCUGUGCUGGGAAAGACGGCGACACAGACCAGGCUGCAGACAUGCAGUCUUGGGCUGGCUGCGCGACUUCUUCCACAUCUUUUCUCCCUCACGAGGUCAUAAUCAUGCAUUUACAGAAAACAGUGGUACAUUGUUCCGUAAAUAAACCUUGUGGAGUGCUCUUUUGAUUGAAAGAGUCCUAUAUUAAAGUUAAAGAGUGACCAGCGGAGUCGGGCAGCGUGACUUGCAAGCUAGCAGGUCUGUGCUUCACAAGUCACAACUUUCCCUGCAGCAGGCUGAGAGCUCAACUACCGUACUGUAGCUAGUAGGAGCGCAAACUCCCGAAAAAACUGCACGUUGUAGACAUCGCUGAACACAAUAUAAAUC